RNAcentral lists this ribosomal RNA (2044 nucleotides) under Salmonella enterica subsp. enterica. Its description in RNAcentral is "partial 23S ribosomal RNA". It matches the Rfam family "Bacterial large subunit ribosomal RNA", at positions 161 to 2141 of the family's 2925-position model. The record is from RNAcentral. Lineage: Bacteria; Pseudomonadati; Pseudomonadota; Gammaproteobacteria; Enterobacterales; Enterobacteriaceae.
AAUCCAUAGGUUAAUGAGGCGAACCGGGGGAACUGAAACAUCUAAGUACCCCGAGGAAAAGAAAUCAACCGAGAUUCCCCCAGUAGCGGCGAGCGAACGGGGAGGAGCCCAGAGCCUGAAUCAGCAUGUGUGUUAGUGGAAGCGUCUGGAAAGGCGCGCGAUACAGGGUGACAGCCCCGUACACAAAAGCGCAUGUGUUGUGAGCUCGAUGAGUAGGGCGGGACACGUGGUAUCCUGUCUGAAUAUGGGGGGACCAUCCUCCAAGGCUAAAUACUCCUGACUGACCGAUAGUGAACCAGUACCGUGAGGGAAAGGCGAAAAGAACCCCGGCGAGGGGAGUGAAAAAGAACCUGAAACCGUGUACGUACAAGCAGUGGGAGCACAGGUUUACCUGUGUGACUGCGUACCUUUUGUAUAAUGGGUCAGCGACUUAUAUUCUGUAGCAAGGUUAACCGUAUAGGGGAGCCGGAGGGAAACCGAGUCUUAAUUGGGCGUUAAGUUGCAGGGUAUAGACCCGAAACCCGGUGAUCUAGCCAUGGGCAGGUUGAAGGUUGGGUAACACUAACUGGAGGACCGAACCGACUAAUGUUGAAAAAUUAGCGGAUGACCUGUGGCUGGGGGUGAAAGGCCAAUCAAACCGGGAGAUAGCUGGUUCUCCCCGAAAGCUAUUUAGGUAGCGCCUCGUGAACUCAUCUCCGGGGGUAGAGCACUGUUUCGGCUAGGGGGCCAUCCCGGCUUACCAACCCGAUGCAAACUGCGAAUACCGGAGAAUGUUAUCACGGGAGACACACGGCGGGUGCUAACGUCCGUCGUGAAGAGGGAAACAACCCAGACCGCCAGCUAAGGUCCCAAAGUCAUGGUUAAGUGGGAAACGAUGUGGGAAGGCCCAGACAGCCAGGAUGUUGGCUUAGAAGCAGCCAUCAUUUAAAGAAAGCGUAAUAGCUCACUGGUCGAGUCGGCCUGCGCGGAAGAUGUAACGGGGCUAAACCAUGCACCGAAGCUGCGGCAGCGAACGUAUCACCCAAGACAACUUUGCGGAGUUGACGAUUGACGGAGCGAAGCGACGUCAAAGCGUUCAUUAAAGUCGAGUUGGCUUAGGGAUACGUUCGUUGGGUAGGGGAGCGUUCUGUAAGCCAGUGAAGGUGUGUCGUGAGGCAUGCUGGAGGUAUCAGAAGUGCGAAUGCUGACAUAAGUAACGAUAAAGCGGGUGAAAAGCCCGCUCGCCGGAAGACCAAGGGUUCCUGUCCAACGUUAAUCGGGGCAGGGUGAGUCGACCCCUAAGGCGAGGCCGAAAGGCGUAGUCGAUGGGAAACGGGUUAAUAUUCCCGUACUUGGUGUUACUGCGAAGGGGGGACGGAGAAGGCUAUGUUGGCCGGGCGACGGUUGUCCCGGUUUAAGCGUGUAGGUGUGUGUUCCAGGUAAAUCCGGUUCACUUUAACACUGAGGCGUGAUGACGAGGCACUACGGUGCUGAAGCAACAAAUGCCCUGCUUCCAGGAAAAGCCUCUAAGCAUCAGGUAACAUCAAAUCGUACCCCAAACCGACACAGGUGGUCAGGUAGAGAAUACCAAGGCGCUUGAGAGAACUCGGGUGAAGGAACUAGGCAAAAUGGUGCCGUAACUUCGGGAGAAGGCACGCUGACACGUAGGUGAAGUGAUUUACUCAUGGAGCUGAAGUCAGUCGAAGAUACCAGCUGGCUGCAACUGUUUAUUAAAAACACAGCACUGUGCAAACACGAAAGUGGACGUAUACGGUGUGACGCCUGCCCGGUGCCGGAAGGUUAAUUGAUGGGGUCAGCGCAAGCGAAGCUCCUGAUCGAAGCCCCGGUAAACGGCGGCCGUAACUAUAACGGUCCUAAGGUAGCGAAAUUCCUUGUCGGGUAAGUUCCGACCUGCACGAAUGGCGUAAUGAUGGCCAGGCUGUCUCCACCCGAGACUCAGUGAAAUUGAACUCGCUGUGAAGAUGCAGUGUACCCGCGGCAAGACGGAAAGACCCCGUGAACCUUUACUAUAGCUUGACACUGAACAUUGAGCCUUGAUGUGUAG